GAACGCACAUUGCACUCUUUUAGAGUAUGCCUGUUUGAGAAUCUAUAGUAUUAAUUUUUGGCUGUUUUUCUUUAGAAAAACAGGCAAGAGAUAUGGAGUUUCCCCCGCAAGAGGGUGCUUUGAAAUAGAUUGCCUUUGUUUUUGUUGGACUCGACGAAGUUUUUCAAAACCCGCAGAAAAGUAUUUGAAUGGAACCGUGGUUUCUCUUGAUGCUGAAUAUGCAGGCGAAAGAUGGAGUUUCCUUCAGGCAAAGGCCCAUACCUAAUAAGUCAGUUUUAGGACUGGCUUGAACCAUGGUCUCAAAUCAGGUAGGAAGACCCGCUGAACUUAAG
Molecule: unclassified non-coding RNA, 332 nt
Filed under: uncultured Chytridiomycota
Lineage: Eukaryota; Fungi; Chytridiomycota
Description: sequence contains 5.8S rRNA gene
Source: RNAcentral